AUGAGAACCUGGUGCAGGUGGAAGGAAAGGGGACCCCACAGGGAAGGUAGAAGGGCCAGGGCUUUCCCCAGCAGUGGCCAGAUCUGAACAGAGAUGACUCUGUGUUGCUGUGGCCACUCCAGACCCCAGACCGCAGCCUGAUAUCCAAGCUCCCGAGGGAGCAGAAUGCAUCAGCCACCUCAGAGAGGAGGCGCAGCCCAGUCAGGGCCCCACGUUGUCACGGCUCCAGCUGUCCUCAGGAGGGAAACUGUCUUGCAAGCCUGGAGACUUCUGGUUGCUUCUCGGAGGAAAGGUAGCAUCUCCCUUCCUUUCUGGGAAACAAACAUUCCCGAGUACCAACUGCGUGCCAGGCCCAUUGCUAGCUGCAAUCUUAGGCGAGUCCCAAACCUCUCUGAGACUUGGGCCUGUCAUCUGGAAACAGAGUAGUCUAUAAAAGAUUGACUUCAAAGGGCUGUGAGGACAGUCAAAGAGACCAUAAAGCACAGAGCUUGGGCAGGGGUGGGCAUUCAGGAGAGGUGGUGGCCCCUUCCCCUGUGCCUGCCCCUGGGAAACCCUGUCCCCUACCUGGCUGGCAGCACAGGAGACGUGGAGAAGGGACAACCCGGUCUGGGGACGGGGCGGUUUCUCCAGGCUGGGCUGCCACUGUCUUCCUUCCCUGUGUGGGUGGUGGCUCAGGGCCUGGUGGUCUGCCACAAAGGUCCAGAAGGUCCACCCUUUCUGGUGGCUGGGGGUGGCAGUCAGGGGCUUCAGGACAAGCCUCUGGCUGCUGUGGCCCCCUACCCUUCCUCUGCACCUUGGGAGCCCCAGCCCCUGGGCUGUCUGAGUCUAUGCUAACAAAGUAGGAGCCAGAAACGUUCCUUUAGACACAGGUCACUGUGAGCCUUGGCUAAGCCUGGGGACCUCUUCUCGGCCCUGGCUACGGCCCAGAUGCCCACCCUGAACCUUCCACGAGUCAGGGCAGGCACCAUUUCCCCAGGACCAGCUGAGCAGUAAAGUCUCUUCUGGUUUAUCUGGAGGAAGGAAAAUGACGUCAUGAGGUAAACCGCACAGCCUGAAACCACGAGGCUGGGCGCCCCAGUGAUGUUUGCUUUUCAGCAAAAGUCACCAUGCACACAGAGGGACAGGGAGCCCAGGCCAUUGUGGUCAGAGGGUCAGGGGGAAGACAGAGGGAGAUUUUUUAACACGGAACCACAAGGAAGGAGAGGCCCCCGGAGAGGACGGACGUCAGAGGCCAGAGGGCGGCUUCCUGGGGUGCUGUGAGAGACUUGUCACCUGCUGGGUGGGGCAGUCUCUGCUGGUGUCUCACGAGGUCUCGGGCUUGGCACCUGAGGCAUGCAAAGUCACGUUUGCCAUGGCGGGCACAAUAAUAGUGGCAAGAAUAAUAAUAUCGAUAACGCAUCCUGACCAUGUGUCUCUGUAGCCCUGUCACCUCCUCACCACCGUCCCAUAAGACGGGACCCUGCGAGGCAGACGCAGCCUGCACACAGAGGAGGGAGGGGAGGCUGCUGGGGCUCCGGCCUGUGCUUUCGCCUCCAGACCAUGGAGCUUCUUCACCCACAUGCUGGGUGCCGUCCAGCCUGAGGCCUGUGUGCAGGGUCCCGGUUUCAAGCCCCGAUUCCCACCUGCUAACUGUGACCCAGGAAGCCCCACCCCCCGCAGCCCUCAGUUUCUUCACCUGCCAAACUCCCUGCCUUCGAGGUGAGAGAUUACGUAAGUAAGGUAAAGCUUAUUCUUCGAUACCGUUCUCUUACUCUGUCAAUGCUUUGAGCAGGGUUCCCUGGAGAAACUGGCCCCAAAGCGUGGGCCCAGACACUGGUCUUGAUGGGCUGGCUGAGGCGGGAGCUCCGUCUCAUGGGAGUGGAUGGGAGUGGCAGGCAGGUGGGUGGCACCUUCUGUGGAGCGGGGGCCAGUCGGCAGCUUAAACGAGGGCAGAGAGAGCUGUCUAGGGAGGUCCAAUGGGGCUUCACUUUUCUCAGGAAUCUCAGGGUCUCCAAGCCCCCACUCUAGGGUGGCAUGAGUUUGGGGGGUUCCUAAAGGAAGUCCCCUGUGUCUGGGUGUGCCUGGGUGGCAGUGUAGGGGCAGGUGUGGUGCCCACAUUGUCCAUAUGUCCUCACCCGCCCCAGGCCCCAGGCCCUCUGCCUCAGGGUGGGGCCGCAGCUCAGCUUUGAUGCCCCUGAGGGCCUGCCUGCCGGAACUGCUGUUUCAGGCAGGAGGUGGGAGGACGCAAUGCAGGCGGGGUUGCCCAACCAAAACACCCUCAGCCCAAUUCCUCCCACAGGCCUCCUGGAACCCGCAUUUCUUCAGUGGAGUCACAGCUUUUUGGGCUAUGGCUCCUCUUUUCAGUUCUUUUUCUUUAUAACACAAAGACACCAUGAGAGAGGCCGUACUUCACAAUCCCCAAGUGUUAGAAGGCAGAGGGUCUUCCAGACAGCCACCACCAGGCCUGUGCUUUACAGAGGAGGAAGCUGAAAGGACUGGUCCAAGACCACACAGCGGGGAGCAGGUGGCAGCACGGACGCUCGAAGCUUGGUCUCUCGCUGUGGAGUUUUCUCUCGCCUGUCUCUACCGCUAUCAUCCUAAUACUGAAGCAUCAGGUCCUUUUUCAAGACACCACCAGCUACAAGCAGAGGGCAAGCCUGGGGCUGAGAAGCACUGUGGGGAGGAGGGGUGGAGCUGGGAGAGGGUCACGGGAGUCAGGGGCCAGGGAAAGCUGCCAAGCAGAGACAGCCUCUCCUGCCCCUUUCCCAGGGCUGACUCAGCACCUUACGCGUGAGGAUUUGUCAUCAACAACUGACCCCAAAAGCCAUGGUGCCCUGGGGUUGGUGUCCCAGUGAUGCUUUUCUGACUCGUGGCCCAGGAUGACACAAAGCCCCAAGGGACAAGCCAGAGAUCCCACUGGCCCAGCCAGAUGCUCCAAGAUUCCUUUUGCCUGUAACCCAGAACUGGCCCACCCUCUUGCCUGGUUACUGGGGCUUUCACGAAAGAGCAAUGGACAGUGGGAAGGGCUCGCUGUGAGGCAGGAUCAGUCCUGGGGCCCUGGGAGUGUCUCUUCCCUUCCCCGAGCCUCAGUGUUCUUGUCUGUACAAUGGAAGUUCAGGUCAGAUGGUCUCUGGAUUCCUUCCCAGCUCUGAGAACCAGGUUCUACCUCAGCUGUUCUCAGAAAGGACAGGGUGGUCCGGGCUGGGCAUGGGCUUGAGGCUUGUGCCCCUCUCCUAGCCCCAAGGACUUCCCAUCCUUUCAGGUCCCGCUGGGGCUCAGCUGCCCAACUCUGAUCAGAAAGAAGAGCUGUAAGUCUGGCUGGGCGGUGGCUCAUGCCUCUAAUCCCAGCACUUUGGGAGGCCAAAGAGGAUGGACUGCUUGAGCCCAGGAGUUCGGGACCAGCCUGGGAACCCUCUCAUGGGACAGCUGGACACAGCCAGGCGGGAAGGACUCUUCACCAGCCCCGUCUCCAUAGUCCCGGCUGCCAUCACUGCUGGCAUCGACACUGACCCUCCAGCUCCAGCACCAGGUCACCACCCUGCCCCUCAUCCAUCCUCCUCCUCCACGCGUGAUGAAUGAGCUUUUCUCAUUCAAUCAUUCUCAGGGGCAGCAUAGCGUGGCCAGUAGGAAGGAGGAUGCGGGAGCCAGCCUGCCUGGCUCCACCACCCACCAGCUGCUUUUAUUCCCUGCCUGCUCUAGUUCCCUGGCUGUAAAAUGGGGAUACAAAUAAUAUCUUCCUCAUCAGGUCACUGGGAGGCUUAAAUAAGCCCAUACUGUAAAGUGCUUAGAACAGGGCCUGCCACGUAGUAAGUACUCCAUAAUUGCUAUCAUUCAUCCAUUCAUUCAUUCAUUCAUUCAUUCGUGAAUUCUAUCCUGCCUGUUUCUGAAAGAGUUGAGAUGACUCACAGUGGAAAUGCAAUGAUAACAGGCCUUUAAAUUCAGAUUAAAAGAACACAAGCCUAGGCUGCAGAGGAGAGAGUGUCCCAGAAUCUGAGCCAAGCAAGCCUCACCUGAAUACAACCUCCCGGCGUCUCAUCCAAAACAUAAAGGUUGCUGGUAUCAAUUCUCCUUUUCUGAUGAAAGGAAGCAUAACAGCUUUCCAGCGGAAUAGAAGAUUUUUUUUUGGUUCAAACUUUAUGAAUGACAUUAAACAAUGCAAUGAGUAGCCUCCCCCUCACCUCACCCUGUCCGCCUUUUUAAUCAACUCCUGAGAAAUGGGGUCUGCUCUUCUUCCCAUCCCACUCCCCAUCUCCAGACCCUGCGGAAGCCUGUGGUCCUGGAGAGCCUGAGAGCCCUCAGAGCGAUACCUUCAGCUAUCCCAGGAGAAGGACACUCUUCGCUUUCAGCACCAGGGGAAAACUAGGAAAAAGCCAAGCCACUGAGUCAAUGAGGGCCUUCCCUCAGCUGCAGACAGCAAGCCCCUUCCAGGCGCUUCCCCGCAGCUACGGCAGCAAGUGCCCCAGGGGCAGGGCCGGGAAUGCUCACUGAGAAAUCCCAGAGCUGCCUGCACUUCCUCUCACCGGCUUCCCCUUCUCUCAGCAGCCACAGGCACGGGAAAGCUGCUGAUUCCCGGAGGACCACUUACACCAAGCACUGUGAGCUGAUCGAUGGCAGAGUCUCUCCAGCUCAUGAGUCUUCAGUGACUCCCCAUUGUCCAUGGAAAACAGAAGACACCUGAGGCCUUGCACAGUGGACCUUAUUCUCAUCCCUCCCUCAGGAGAAUCCUCUGCCUCGAGCCGAAGGCCGUGGGCUCUGCAGACUCCAGGCCUCUCCUUCCCAGGGCGGUCUUCCCUUUCCCUAUGCUCAAGGCACAGCCCAAGUCCCACCUCCUCCAUUGCAAGGGACACCACCCUCUGAAUUCCUGUUGGGGAAAGAGCCUAGUUUUGCAGCCAGAUAGGCCCGAGUUAGAGUCUCAGCUCAGUUCCAAUCCCAUUAGCUGGUUGCAAGUCAUUAACUUUGUCAACCUUCAGUAAAUGGAAAUCAGGCCCACACUGUAGGUGCCUGGGGGUGCUGAUGGUUGAGUGGAAUCUGUUCUUUUGACCUUCCCAGCAUCUUUCCCCUUCCCAGCAUCCUUUCCCCUUUCUUUUGGUGAUGUCGCCUGGAUUUUCUGUUGGGUAUGUGGUCCAGGGGUGGCUGACCUCACUUCCUGGUUCCAGCAUAAGAUCAUGACUGAGAGCUGGCCAAUGAGAAUAUUCCCUCGCCCCAGCCACAGAGUCAGAUUCCCGGGGAUGAACUUGUGAGUCAAAACAGGCUGGUGGGAACACACUUGGGGUGUUAGCUGGAGUUAUUGAAGCUUUCUUUCCCACUGGAGUCACUAGGUAGAUAGAAGGAAAGCUGAAGCCUUUAGCCACUGCUGUGGGUUGAAGUGUGUACCCCAAAAAGAUAUGUUCAAAUUCUAAUCCCCUGCACCUUUGGAGGUGGCCUUGUUUGGAAAAAGGGUCUUUGCAGAUGUAGGCAAGUGAAGAUGAAGCCAUCCUGGAUCAGGGUGGCUUGUGGCUUGUGUCCAAUGCCUUGUGUCCUUCUAAGAAGAGAGAAAUCGAGACACAGACACACACAGGGAAAAGGCCGAGUGAUGACAGCAGCAGAGAUGGGAGCGCGGCAGCUACAAGCUGAGGGAUGCCAAGCAUGGCUGGCACCACCCAGGAGCCUGGAGAGAGGGAGGGGACAGCCUCCUCCUUAGAGCCUCGAAACACCCUACCCACAUCCUGGCUUCAGACUUCCAGCCUGCACAACUGGGAGAGAAUCACUUUCUGCUGUGUUAAGCUACACUAGUUCAUGGUGAUUUGUUACAGCAGCUGCAGGAAAUGAACACAGACACCAAAUGGAGAUACUGUGUCUGAGAUUGAAGCCAGCACCGUGGAAUCAGAGCUGCCAGGAGGGAGACGUGGACUCUCGACCCUGUGGCCACACUUGGUUCCCCCAGCAGCUGAAGCACGAAGUCUACUGGACUUACUAGACUUUCCAGUUACCUGGACCAAUAUAUUCUCUGUUUUACUUAAGCUGUUUCGAUUGGAUUUCUGGCUAUUUCAACUGAGAGAGGCCUAACUCUCAGUUAUACAGAGACAAUGGAUGUAAAAUGCAUUGAAGGCCAGGCACAGUGGCUCGCGCCUGUAAUCCCAACACUUUGGAAAGCCAAGGCAGGAGGAUGGCUUG
RNAcentral lists this long non-coding RNA (6132 nucleotides) under Homo sapiens (human). Its description in RNAcentral is "HSALNT0301312". Lineage: Eukaryota; Metazoa; Chordata; Mammalia; Primates; Hominidae. The record is from RNAcentral.